RNAcentral lists this ribosomal RNA (468 nucleotides) under uncultured bacterium. Its description in RNAcentral is "partial 16S ribosomal RNA". It matches the Rfam family "Bacterial small subunit ribosomal RNA", at positions 28 to 507 of the family's 1533-position model. The record is from RNAcentral.
GACGAACGCUGGCGGCGUGCUUAACACAUGCAAGUCGAACGGAAAGGCCCUGCUUUUGUGGGGUGCUCGAGUGGCGAACGGGUGAGUAACACGUGAGUAACCUGCCCUUGACUUUGGGAUAACUUCAGGAAACUGGGGCUAAUACCGGAUAGGAGCUCCUGCUGCAUGGUGGGGGUUGGAAAGUUUCGGCGGUUGGGGAUGGACUCGCGGCUUAUCAGCUUGUUGGUGGGGUAGUGGCUUACCAAGGCUUUGACGGGUAGCCGGCCUGAGAGGGUGGCCGGCCACAUUGGGACUGAGAUACGGCCCAGACUCCUACGGGAGGCAGCAGUGGGGAAUAUUGCACAAUGGGCGGAAGCCUGAUGCAGCAACGCCGCGCGCGGGAUGACGGCCUUCGGGUUGUAAACCGCUUUCGCCUGUGACGAAGCGUGAGUGACGGUAAUGGGUAAAGAAGCACCGGCUAACUACGUG